This is a non-coding RNA of Gavia stellata (red-throated loon), 1064 nucleotides long. The record is from the annotation of a RefSeq genome assembly. Lineage: Eukaryota; Metazoa; Chordata; Aves; Gaviiformes; Gaviidae.
AUGGCGCCCGGGCUGGGGCCGUGGCUCCUGGCCUUGUCCUUGGCCGCGGGGCCGGCAGGGGUGUGGGCGCAGCUGAGGCUGGAGGAGACCGGCAGAGGGCUGCGAGCGCCUGGGAACACUGUGCUCCUCUCCUGCCACGGAUCCGGCUUCGCCUUCGGGAGUUAGAACGUUCUGUGGUACCGUCAGGCCCCUGGUUUCAGUGCCGAGUGGUGUCCUACAUCAACUACUGGGGUAAUACAAAGAAGUACGAGGCAGCGGUGCAGGGUCGAGCCACGGUGUCCCGGGACAAUUCCCGGUCCGAGUCAUCUGUGUCCCUGCGUGACCUGCAGCCCCGGGACUCUGCCUGCUACUUCUGCACCGUUGGCACAGGGACAGGAAAUCCAGCUGAGCUUUAACAGAAACCUCCUGUCAGGGUCCAGGCUCUGGGCCUCGGAGCUGGAAAGAAGACCAUUCCCACAUUAUUCAGUGCUGUUCGCAGAGAGUUGUGUAGUUACAGCAUACAGUUUUCAAAUGUUUGAUUCUUACAGAGAUGUUUGAAUUGGUUCUGUCCCCUUCUGCUCUACUCCUUCGGCUUGCCUUCUUCCCAUGUUUCAUGUCAAUUCCCUCUCCUCUCACACUCCCAAACCUCUUGACCUUUGGAAACAAGUUUUGCUGUUUCCUUCAGUUCCCACAAGGACAGCUACCCAGUGGUGGCUCACCUGGGGAGUUGUGUGAAUAGCCCUGCUCUGGUUUUGGGCAUGGCUCAGGUGACUCAGUGGAGUUUUGCUCCCUGGGGGGCAAGCAGAGUAAAUGCGGGAGGUACACAGGGUCAUUUGGGAGCUGACUGGAGAAAGGGGAAAUCUGUGUUUCUCUCCCAGCUCCAAAACUAUAAUGGGAGCAAGAGCUAGUGAGCAUGUGUGUUUGCAUCUGCUGGAUCCCGGAGAUCACAAGUGGAAGCCCAGGGAAGUUGUGAAGUAGUUGAAGCGAUUGCUGGAGCUGUUCCUGCCUGUUCAUUCUUGUCUCCUGGGGUUGCAGGUGCCCUUUCUCAGGUGCAGACAGAGCUUUUGGCCCACGGUAGGAAAGGU